GAUGAAUGCUGGCUGUGUGGAUAAGGCAUGCAAGUCGAAUGAAUUUAUAUUCAUGGCGAACGAGGUAGUAACACGUAGGACUACGUACCCCAAAGUCAAGGAUAACCUAUCGAAAGGUAGGAUAAUACUUGAUAUCUCUUCGGAGGAAAGAUUUAUCGCUUUGGGAACGGCCUGCGGAGUAUCAGCUUGUUGGUAGUGUAAUGGACUACCAAGGCUACGACGCUUAGGGGAGGUGAGAGCCUGACCCCCACCGAUGGAACUGAGACACGGUCCAUACUCCUACGGGAGGCCGCAGUCGAGAAUCUUCCACAAUGGACGAAAGUCUGAUGGAGCGACACAGCGUGACCGAUGAAGUCUUACAAGAUGUAAAGGUCUUUUAUAAGUGAAAAAGUUUAUUGAUAUUAGCUUAUGAAUAAGGGGCUGCUAAUCACG
Molecule: ribosomal RNA, 432 nt
Filed under: uncultured bacterium
Lineage: Bacteria
Description: bacterial SSU rRNA
Rfam family: Bacterial small subunit ribosomal RNA
Source: RNAcentral